This 2738-nucleotide ribosomal RNA is filed under the name Minisyncoccota bacterium. RNAcentral describes it as "bacterial LSU rRNA". It matches the Rfam family "Bacterial large subunit ribosomal RNA", at positions 1215 to 2562 of the family's 2925-position model. Lineage: Bacteria; Bacillati; Minisyncoccota. The record is from RNAcentral.
AAGAUGUAAAGUGGUAGGGGAGCGUUCUCCGUGCUGUGAAGGCGGCGGGUAACCGAUCUGCUGGAGCGAGGAGAAGUGCGAAUGCCGGUAUGAGUAGCGAUAAUGAAGUGAGAAUCUUCAUCUCCGAAUGUCCAAGGUUUCCGCACCCACGUUCGUCGUGUGCGGGUUAGGCGACCCUUAGGCGAGGCCGUUUGGCGUAGCUGAUGGAUUACCGGUUAAUAUUCCGGUCCUUGGUAUGUUUCGUUACGACUUGGGGAGGGACGGAAUCGGAUAGCGCAAACGCUCCGAUGAACGAGUCGUUGAACCGUCGAGACAGUUCCCGCAGGCAAAUCCACGGGGGCGUUUAUUCGAGACGGGACCACGAGCGCGAGGCGAAAGCCGAGCGCAAGUUGCGUGAUUUCAGUUUCCAAGAAAAGCUUCGCAAGCAGAAACAUGCCAAAUCGUACUGAUAACCGACACAGGUGGACUAGUCGAGUAGACUAAGGAGAGCGAGAGAACAUGGUUUAAGGAAUUCGGCAAAACAACUAGGCGUACCUUUGGAAGAUGCCUUCCUCUCCGCAAGGAGAGGCUCAGCGAAAGAUUUGAGGUCGACUGUUUAACAAAAACACAGGUCUGUGCAAACUCGAAAGAGGAAGUAUACGGGCUGAGGCCUGCCCAGUGCCGGAAGGUUAACUGCGAGAGUGGUAUCGCAAGAUACUGCUUUCAAUUGAAGCCCCGGUGAACGGCAGCAGUAACUAUAAAAACAUUGUAGUUAAAAAAGUUGGCUAUAUGCUGGAAACUCUCGAUAAGUUGUUUGUACUCAUUUGAUUUUUCGCAAGAUGAAUCAAAAAGUGAAAAUCAAACAAAUAGAGACAAUCAGCAGGGAAGUCUUGUUUAUAUGUUUAUAAACAUGAUCCCUCAGAGACUAUACGCCGACCUGUUUCUUAACAAGAAACAGAUGAUAUAGUCCGACCUUUAUGGAGACAUAAAGAUUGCGACAGAAAUGUUCGCAAAGCAUCCAUCAAAAAAGACGGAUGUAUCAACAAAUGUGAACUGUUCUAUGGUUAAGGGUAAAAACCGUUGCCAUAGUAAAAUUGUGCCAUAUGCUGGAAGAGCUGUGCUCCGAGAUGGUACCUCGAGAGCUGAAGAUGUUGAACUAGUUGAUGUUUGGGUAAGAUUCGGGUAUUAUGAAAAUAAUGCCCACAAUCUCAAACACAACUGACAAUGUUACAACUGCAGCAAAUCAGCAGGAAAGACUUGUUUUGUCUGGAUGGAUUGUAGGGUUUGUUGACGGAGAAGGCUAUUUUGGUGUUUCUGUGUGUAGAAAUACAUCAACACGUUAUGGUAAACAAAUAUUACCAGAAUUUGUUGUUACACAGAGCAUUAAAAGUUUGUCAUCUCUCCAACAAAUUCAGAAGUUUUUUAAAUGUGGUCGUAUAUAUGUAAAUCAUCGACAUGAUAAUCAUCAUGAUGAUAUUUAUCGAUAUUGCGUUCGCAAUCUAGAAGAACUUCAUCAGAUAAUUAUUCCUUUUUUUCGAACAUAUGCUUUACAAACUUCAAAACGGAAUGACUUUGAGCUUUUUGAUCAAGUUGUUUCAAGAAUGAUUUGUAAAGUUCACUAUUCAAUUGAAGGAAUGGAUAAUCUCAUAACAUAUAUUCAUCAGUCAAAAACAAGAAUCCUCAACGACUAUACGCACAACACGCGACCAAACGCGUGAAGAUAUAGUCUGAUCUCAUGGGCGACCAUGAGCGUCUGACAGAAAUGAUCAGACAGACUGUUCAGCAAUGAACAAUCGAACAAGAAGUUUAUGAGCGAAGUACCUUGUCACUUAAUUGGUGACGCGCACGAAAGGUGUAACGAGCCUCAAACUGUCUUGAACCAUGACUCGGCGAAAUUGAAAUGGCUGUGAAGAUGCGGCCUACUGGCAGUAGGACAAAAAGACCCCAUGGAGCUUUACUACAGCUUGACACUGAUGUUUUAUGUGGAAUUGUUUAGUAUAGGUGGGAGCUUUGCCACUCGUUGGCAGAGCAACAGUGAAAUACCACUCGUUUUAUAUAGAAUAUCUUACGUACCCUUUCUGCAUACGAAAGGACGGACACUGUCUGGUGGGUAGUUUAACUGGGGAGGUUGCCUGCGAAAGGGUAUCGCAGGCGCACAAAGGUAUCCUUGGUCCGGAUGGAAACCGGACUGGAAGUGCAACGGCAUACGGAUGCUUGACUGUGAGGCAAACAAGCCAAGCAGGUGCGAAAGCAGGUCAUAGUGAUCCUCGUGUACUUUGUGGAAGGUACCGGGCUUAACGGAUAAAAGCUACCCUGGGGAUAACAGAGUCAUCGCGCCUAAGCGUUCCUAGCGACGGCGCGGUUUGCUACCUCGAUGUCGGCUCAUCCCAUCCUGGGGCUGGAGAAAACGCGCAUUUUUAUUUGCGCACCUUCUCUCCUUUUAGAAAUAAAAGGUAAUUAAACAAGCUCAAAACGGAGGAGGCCAUAGUAUUGCAGGUCCCAGAUUUAUCUGGUACUUUGAUAAUAUGGUUGGUUCCGUAGGAAAAGGAUGUUCUUUAGUUGAACGAGCGUAUCUUGCUGGUCUUUUUGAUUCAGAUGGAGCUAUUAUGGCUUCGAUCGAAUCUCAUAAAGAGAAACGAUUCAAAUUUCGUGUUCGCGUAAUCUUAAAAAUUACGCAGAAAAAUCUUGAUGUGUUGCACUGGGCGUAUUCACACACGCACCUUGGACGCAUUCAGAAAAAUAGAACAACGUCAGAUUGG